Non-coding RNA from Gossypium raimondii (Peruvian cotton), 107 nucleotides. The record is from Rfam. NCBI's taxonomy places the organism in Eukaryota, Viridiplantae, Streptophyta, Magnoliopsida, Malvales, Malvaceae.
AUCCCAUGAUGAUGGCACUUAUGAUGUAAUUCUUUGAAUCUCUCUCAUGCUUCGUACAAAGAUUCAUCGUUAAAUUGUUGAAAAGUGGUUAUCUCAUUUCGCAACUU